AGUGAACGCUGGCGGUAGGCCUAACACAUGCAAGUCGAACGGCAGCACAGUAAGAGCUUGCUCUUACGGGUGGCGAGUGGCGGACGGGUGAGGAAUACAUCGGAAUCUACUUUUUCGUGGGGGAUAACGUAGGGAAACUUACGCUAAUACCGCAUACGACCUACGGGUGAAAGCAGGGGAUCUUCGGACCUUGCGCGAUUGAAUGAGCCGAUGUCGGAUUAGCUAGUUGGCGGGGUAAAGGCCCACCAAGGCGACGAUCCGUAGCUGGUCUGAGAGGAUGAUCAGCCACAGUGGAACGGAGACACGGUCCAGACUCCUACGGGAGGCAGCAGUGGGGAAUAUUGGACAAUGGGCGCAAGCCUGAUCCAGCCAUACCGCGUGGGUGAAGAAGGCCUUCGGGUUGUAAAGCCCUUUUGUUGGGAAAGAAAAGCAGCAGGUUAAUACCCCGCUGUUCUGACGGUACCCAAAGAAUAAGCACCGGCUAACUUCGU
This 491-nucleotide ribosomal RNA is filed under the name uncultured bacterium. RNAcentral's name for it is "partial 16S ribosomal RNA". It matches the Rfam family "Bacterial small subunit ribosomal RNA", at positions 29 to 506 of the family's 1533-position model. The record is from RNAcentral.